Molecule: small RNA, 430 nt
Filed under: Arabidopsis thaliana (thale cress)
Lineage: Eukaryota; Viridiplantae; Streptophyta; Magnoliopsida; Brassicales; Brassicaceae
Description: ATSL068260
Source: RNAcentral
AAUUUUCUAAAGUACUCAUAGUCAUUGAUUAACGGAAAAAAAGUUAUUUAAUACAUGAACUUUAAAAAAGUGGCCAAAUUAACCUUGAACUCUUGAAAUGAUCGUUUUAUACCGUAACAAAAAGUUGACUUCUAAUUUAACUUAUAAUUUAUCGUUGACCCGGCCAAAUCGAUUCACCAUUAACACUCCUUAACAGCGCUCCUAACAGCCGUUACAAAACGUGGCCUAACAAUCGUUAUCGUUGGUUUAAGGACGAAAACAGUUGUUAGUUACGCUGUUAGGAGAGCUGUUAAGAAGUGUUAACGGUGAGUCGAUUUGGCCGGAUCAACUAUAACUUAUAAGUUAAAUUAAAAGUCAACAUUUUGUUGAAAUAUAAAACGGUCACAGUUAAUUUGACCACUUUUUGAAAGUUCAAGUAUUAAAUAAUAUU